This 193-nucleotide non-coding RNA is filed under the name Odoribacter splanchnicus. RNAcentral also lists the same sequence under 1 other name. The record is from RNAcentral. Lineage: Bacteria; Pseudomonadati; Bacteroidota; Bacteroidia; Bacteroidales; Odoribacteraceae.
UACCUUUACUGCAAUUUUGGUGAUGUAAUAGAUUUCAUCCGUUACAUAAAAGGGAAUCCGGUGAGAAUCCGGAAUAGUGCCCGCUACUGUGAAUCCCGUAAUUGAUAAGUUUCUUAUGCCACUGUCCAAUGGAGGAUGGGAAGGUCGCUUUUCAGGGAUAAGUCAGGAAACCUGCCGGAAUUAUACAGAAAAU